This 474-nucleotide ribosomal RNA is filed under the name uncultured bacterium. RNAcentral describes it as "bacterial SSU rRNA". It matches the Rfam family "Bacterial small subunit ribosomal RNA", at positions 330 to 793 of the family's 1533-position model. The record is from RNAcentral.
AGAGCACUCCUACGGGAGGCAGCAGUGGGGAAUAUUGCACAAUUGGGCGCAAGCCUGAUGCAGCCAUGGCCGCGUGUAUGAAGAAGGCCUUCGGGUUGUAAAGUACUUUCAGCAGUGAGGAAGGUGGGUAUGUUAAUAGCAUACUCAUUUGACGUUUAGCUGCAGAAGAAGCACCGGCUAACUCCGUGCCAGCAGCCGCGGUAAUACGGAGGGUGCGAGCGUUAAUCGGAAUUACUGGGCGUAAAGCGCAUGCAGGUGGUUUGUUAAGUCAGAUGUGAAAGCCCGGGGCUCAACCUCGGAAUUGCAUUUGAAACUGGCAAACUAGAGUACUGUAGAGGGGGUAGAAUUUCAGGUGUAGCGGUGAAAAUGCGUAGAGAUCUGAAGGAAUACCGGUGGCGAAGGCGGCCCCCUGGACAGAUACUGACACUCAGAUGCGAAAGCGUGGGGAGCAAACAGGAUUAGAUACCCUGGUAG